UAAUUGUCAGCUAAGUGGCGCACGGGUGAGUAAUGUAUAGAUAACCUGCCCUUAAGAAAGGAAUAACAGUUGGAAACGACUGCUAAUGCCCUAUAUGCCUUUAAUACAUAAGUAUGCAAGGGAAACGCUUUAGUGCUUAAGGAUGGGUCUGUAUGGUAUCAGCCUGUUGGUGAGGUAAUGGCUCACCAAGGCUAUGACGCCUAACUGGUUUGAGAGGAUGAUCAGUCACACUGGAACUGAGACACGGUCCAGACUCCUACGGGAGGCAGCAGUGGGGAAUAUUGCACAAUGGACGAAAGUCUGAUGCAGCAACGCCGCGUGGAGGAUGACACAUUUCGGUGCGUAAACUCCUUUUAUAUAGGAAGAUAAUGACGGUACUAUAUGAAUAAGCACCGGCUAACUCCGUGCCAGCAGCCGCGGUAAUACGGAGGGUGCAAGCGUUACUCGGAAUCACUGGGCGUAAAGAGCGUGUAGGCGGGUAUAUAAGUCAGAAGUGAAAUCCAAUAGCUCAACUAUUGAACUGCUUUUGAAACUGUAUACCUAGAAUGUGGGAGAGGUAGAUGGAAUUUCUGGUGUAGGGGUAAAAUCCGUAGAGAUCAGAAGGAAUACCGAUUGCGAAGGCGAUCUACUGGAACAUUAUUGACGCUGAGACGCGAAAGCGUGGGGAGCAAACAGGAUUAGAUGCCCUGGUAGUCCACGCCCUAAACGAUGUACACUAGUUGUUGUGAGGCUCGACCUUGCAGUAAUGCAGUUAACACAUUAAGUGUACCGCCUGGGGAGUACGGUCGCAAGAUUAAAACU
RNAcentral lists this ribosomal RNA (801 nucleotides) under uncultured bacterium. Its description in RNAcentral is "bacterial SSU rRNA". It matches the Rfam family "Bacterial small subunit ribosomal RNA", at positions 81 to 901 of the family's 1533-position model. The record is from RNAcentral.